Antechinus flavipes (yellow-footed antechinus) is the source of this 322-nucleotide long non-coding RNA. RefSeq lists it as uncharacterized. The transcript has 3 exons. The record is from RefSeq and is a predicted model, not a curated record. NCBI's taxonomy places the organism in Eukaryota, Metazoa, Chordata, Mammalia, Dasyuromorphia, Dasyuridae.
GAACUGAAUAGAUUAUUUGCUUCUUGAAUAUCUCAACCAACAGAAAUGUAAGACUAGGGAAUUAUGUGCAACAGGCAAGGACAGCAAUAGCAAGAGCAACAGAACAACAGCACAGAGAGAAGAGUCUAAAUGUACACAAGGAAAUGAGUUAAAGAAGGAAAUCUGGUACAAGUUACAGGGAAGAAGUGGAUAAAAGGUAUUAUGGACAUAACAGGGUUAUUUCUUAUCUACAAAUGGAGAACAAAUGAUGAGAGAAGUGCUAUACAAAGUGUCAGUUGCUACCUUUAUUGACAAGGAAUGAGAAAGAGGAAUGAAGCCCCCU